This 253-nucleotide ribosomal RNA is filed under the name uncultured bacterium. Its description in RNAcentral is "partial 16S ribosomal RNA". It matches the Rfam family "Bacterial small subunit ribosomal RNA", at positions 524 to 776 of the family's 1533-position model. The record is from RNAcentral.
UACGGGGGGGGCAAGCGUUGUUCGGAAUCACUGGGCGUAAAGGGAGCGUAGGCGGGUUUUUAAGUCAGGUGUUUAAUCCCGGGGCCCAACCCCGGACAGGCACUUGAAACUGGGAAUCUUGAAUAGUGGAGAGGUCGGUGGAAUUGGGGGUGUAGCGGUGGAAUGCGUAGAGAUCCCCAAGAACACCCGUUGCGAAGGCGGCCGACUGGACACAUAUUGACGCUGAGGCUCGAAAGCAUGGGGAGCAAACAGG